UUCUUUUCUCAUUUUCCACAUGUUUUCCUAAGAGAUUCUAAAUAGCAUAAUUAAAAUGAAAGGAUGGGUAGGAAAGAGUUAAAAAGAAGGGAAGCGCAUGUUACAUAUGAAAGAGCGUACUGCAGCGCAAAGGAAAAAUAAGUGAGCGAGAAUGUUCGAAGAGGAAUGUAAACUAAAAUUUGCUUCAUUUAAUUUAAUACAGUUAUGUUGAGAAAUCAGUUGAAGCGGGAAGCAAAAGUUUAAGUGGUCCAACAAAAAGAGCAUGAUGCAACAAAUUGUGCUCGCGAAAUCCUAACAGAGCAACGCAUAUUGGUAACGAGGAGCAUAAUGGAUACCAUGGCUCUAAAAAUAUAGCAUUUCAAGUUGAACAAAUGUGGAGGCAAGCAAUGAAGCUUAAGAGAGAAAAGCAUAUGUGUAAUGAGGAGCAUGUGGGAAGACAUCACAAACAUAGAAGAAAAUGCUACACACCUUACAUUCAAGGCCGACACACUCAGAAAAGAAGAGGACAUCACCAUUUGUUUGGCCCUCCCAGUAACAAAUUGGAGAAGACUAGUUGAGAAGCAUUUUCAGUCAUCUCCUACUUCUUUUAGAAGGAUUGGAUUUGUCCACAUAUACAGUAUCGAUGUUGUCUCAAUGUUUAUGAGUUGAAUGUAUAAACACUAAUAAAUUUGAUUUUAUUUAGUCAA
Cryptomeria japonica (Japanese cedar) is the source of this 686-nucleotide long non-coding RNA. RefSeq lists it as uncharacterized. The transcript has 2 exons. The record is from RefSeq and is a predicted model, not a curated record. Lineage: Eukaryota; Viridiplantae; Streptophyta; Pinopsida; Cupressales; Cupressaceae.